CCUACGGGCGGCUGCAGUGGGGAAUAUUGGACAAUGGGGGGAACCCUGAUCCAGCCAUGUCGCGUGUGUGAAGAAGGCCCUCGGGUUGUAAAGCACUUUCAGUGAGGAAGAACGCCUGGUGGUUAAUACCCAUCAGGAAAGACAUCACUCACAGAAGAAGCACCGGCUAACUCCGUGCCAGCAGCCGCGGUAAUACGGAGGGUGCGAGCGUUAAUCGGAAUUACUGGGCGUAAAGCGCGCGUAGGUGGCUUGAUAAGCCGGUUGUGAAAGCCCCGGGCUCAACCUGGGAACGGCAUCCGGAACUGUCAAGCUAGAGUGCAGGAGAGGAAGGUAGAAUUCCCGGUGUAGCGGUGAAAUGCGUAGAGAUCGGGAGGAAUACCAGUGGCGAAGGCGGCCUUCUGGACUGACACUGACACUGAGGUGCGAAAGCGUGGGUAGCAAACAGGAUUAGAUACCCCUGUAGUC
This 465-nucleotide ribosomal RNA is filed under the name Vreelandella stevensii. Its description in RNAcentral is "partial 16S ribosomal RNA". It matches the Rfam family "Bacterial small subunit ribosomal RNA", at positions 338 to 795 of the family's 1533-position model. Lineage: Bacteria; Pseudomonadati; Pseudomonadota; Gammaproteobacteria; Oceanospirillales; Halomonadaceae. The record is from RNAcentral.